This is a non-coding RNA of Tephrocybe rancida, 103 nucleotides long. Lineage: Eukaryota; Fungi; Basidiomycota; Agaricomycetes; Agaricales; Lyophyllaceae. The record is from the annotation of a GenBank genome assembly.
GCCCGCCUAGCUCAAUCGGCCAGAGCGUCAGACUUUUACGAAGGGUACAACCUUUCAUGAUCAACCCAUCUGAAGGCUGCGGGUUCGACUCCCGCGGUGGGCU